RNAcentral lists this ribosomal RNA (563 nucleotides) under Hypoxylon duranii. Its description in RNAcentral is "eukaryotic LSU rRNA". It matches the Rfam family "Eukaryotic large subunit ribosomal RNA", at positions 62 to 648 of the family's 3401-position model. The record is from RNAcentral. Lineage: Eukaryota; Fungi; Ascomycota; Sordariomycetes; Xylariales; Hypoxylaceae.
AAACCAACAGGGAUUGCCCUAGUAACGGCGAGUGAAGCGGCAACAGCUCAAAUUUGAAAUCUGGCCCUAGUGGUCCGAGUUGUAAUUUGUAGAGGAUGCUUUGGGUUAGGUGCCUUCUGAGUUCCCUGGAACGGGACGCCAGAGAGGGUGAGAGCCCCGUACGGUUGGCCACCAAGCCUAUAUAUAGCUCCUUCGACGAGUCGAGUAGUUUGGGAAUGCUGCUCUAAAUGGGAGGUAUAUUUCUUCUAAAGCUAAAUACCGGCCAGAGACCGAUAGCGCACAAGUAGAGUGAUCGAAAGAUGAAAAGCACUUUGAAAAGAGGGUUAAAUAGCACGUGAAAUUGUUGAAAGGGAAGCGUUUGCGACCAGACCUUCUCCAGGCGGAUCAUCCGGGGUUCUCCCCGGUGCACUUCGCCUGGUUUAGGCCAGCAUCGGUUCUCUUAGGGGGAUAAAGGCCUGGGGAACGUAGCUCUUUCGGGAGUGUUAUAGCCCCUGGCGUAAUACCCUUCAGGGGACCGAGGACCGCGCUUCGGCUAGGAUGCUGGCGUAAUGGUCGUCAACGAC